This is a non-coding RNA of Caenorhabditis elegans, 21 nucleotides long. The record is from Ensembl. NCBI's taxonomy places the organism in Eukaryota, Metazoa, Nematoda, Chromadorea, Rhabditida, Rhabditidae.
UUCUGAUUUGCUCCGGUGUCA